RNAcentral lists this ribosomal RNA (320 nucleotides) under uncultured eukaryote. RNAcentral describes it as "partial 18S ribosomal RNA". It matches the Rfam family "Eukaryotic small subunit ribosomal RNA", at positions 1470 to 1796 of the family's 1831-position model. The record is from RNAcentral.
CCCCUAGAUGUUCUGGGCCGCACGCGCGCUACACUGAACAGUUCAACAAGUCUUAACCUUGGCCGAUAGGUCUGGGUAAUCUUUGAACGCUGUUCGUGAUUGGGAUAGACCUUUGCAAUUAUGGGUCUUCAACGAGGAAUUCCUAGUAAACGCAAGUCAUCAGCUUGCAUUGAUUACGUCCCUGCCCUUUGUACACACCGCCCGUCGCACCUACCGAUUGAAUGGUCCGGUGAAAUCUCGGGACGGCGGCUUGGUCGCUUGCGUCCGACUGCUGAAACUUGAUUAAACAAGAUCAUUUAGAGGAAGGUGAAGUCGUAACA